This 70-nucleotide transfer RNA is filed under the name Pristimantis spinosus (spiny robber frog). RNAcentral's name for it is "tRNA-Val". It matches the Rfam family "tRNA". Rfam says of the family: Transfer RNA (tRNA) molecules are approximately 80 nucleotides in length. Their secondary structure includes four short double-helical elements and three loops (D, anti-codon, and T loops). The record is from RNAcentral. Lineage: Eukaryota; Metazoa; Chordata; Amphibia; Anura; Strabomantidae.
CAAAACAUAGCUUAAAUAAAGCACUUCGCUUACACCGAAGCAAUGUCUGUUAAACCCGAACUGUUCUGAG